CGCGGCCUAUCAGCUUGUUGGUGAGGUAAUGGCUCACCAAGGCGACGACGGGUAGCCGGCCUGAGAGGGUGACCGGCCACACUGGGACUGAGACACGGCCCAGACUCCUACGGGAGGCAGCAGUGGGGAAUAUUGCACAAUGGGCGCAAGCCUGAUGCAGCGACGCCGCGUGAGGGAUGACGGCCUUCGGGUUGUAAACCUCUUUCAGUAGGGAAGAAGCGAAAGUGACGGUACCUGCAGAAGAAGCGCCGGCUAACUACGUGCCAGCAGCCGCGGUAAUACGUAGGGCGCAAGCGUUAUCCGGAAUUAUUGGGCGUAAAGAGCUCGUAGGCGGUUUGUCGCGUCUGCCGUGAAAGUCCGGGGCUCAACUCCGGAUCUGCGGUGGGUACGGGCAGGCUAGAGUGAUGUAGGGGAGACCGGAAUUCCUGGUGUAGCGGUGAAAUGCGCAGAUAUCAGGAGGAACACCGAUGGCGAAGGCAGGUCUCUGGGCAUUAACUGACGCUGAGGAGCGAAAGCAUGGGGAGCGAACAGGAUUAGAUACCCUGGUAGUCCAUGCCGUAAACGUUGGGCACUAGGUGUGGGGGACAUUCCACGUUUUCCGCGCCGUAGCUAACGCAUUAAGUGCCCCGCCUGGGGAGUACGG
RNAcentral lists this ribosomal RNA (643 nucleotides) under uncultured Actinomycetes bacterium. RNAcentral describes it as "bacterial SSU rRNA". It matches the Rfam family "Bacterial small subunit ribosomal RNA", at positions 232 to 885 of the family's 1533-position model. The record is from RNAcentral. Lineage: Bacteria; Bacillati; Actinomycetota; Actinomycetes.